Molecule: long non-coding RNA, 674 nt
Filed under: Helianthus annuus (common sunflower)
Lineage: Eukaryota; Viridiplantae; Streptophyta; Magnoliopsida; Asterales; Asteraceae
Description: hypothetical non coding rna
Source: RNAcentral
UUGAUCAUCAGCAUUUGCUCUGUACCGUCUCCCCUAAAUUGAUCGUCGCUAAAUCGAUCUCUCGUUUGCAACUCUGUUGGAAAUCAUCCUCUUCGCUCUUUAAUCAUCAUCGUAAGUACAGGUUGUCUUGACCUUGAAUCGUUAUAGCUGAGCGGAGUUUUACUUUUGGCUACUAAAACAAAUCCCAAUUGUUCCCGUGUUCCACCAAUUGUUUAGGCCUUUUGAAACUGCUCCAGCUAGAUCUGAGUCUUACAUAUGGUUCUGUGUUGUUCAUGAUGCUCAAAGCUCAAUAUCCAUGGAGAAAUCCAAUGUGCAUAUCAAAUACAAACACCAUACCUAGAGCGGUUUGUUCAUUUGGAAUUUGACAUCUCUAAUUCCGGAUUAUCAUACGAAAAUGGGAACAUGUUGGAGCCUAGUGUGAGAGCCUAUGUGAAGUUGUGGAUGAGGCUCUAAUAUAAUUACAUUACACCAAACAACAUGUUUUAGAGAUUUUUAUUUGUUCUAUUGACUUGUUUUGUAUUCAUGUAUUGUAGCAUACUAUGUUUGGAUUUAUAUUUGUAUUGAAUAUAUUUUUGGUAAUCUAAGUUUUGUAUUCACCAAUAAUGCUUUGUUACCACGCGUUAAGCGAACACUAAAUCCAGUCGUUAAAGGGUUUUUAUGAAAGAUUUAACUGU